RNAcentral lists this ribosomal RNA (484 nucleotides) under uncultured bacterium. Its description in RNAcentral is "partial 16S ribosomal RNA". It matches the Rfam family "Bacterial small subunit ribosomal RNA", at positions 30 to 507 of the family's 1533-position model. The record is from RNAcentral.
AUUGAACGCUGGCGGCAGGCCUAACACAUGCAAGUCGAGCGGAUGAAGGGAGCUUGCUCCUGGAUUCAGCGGCGGACGGGUGAGUAAUGCCUAGGAAUCUGCCUGGUAGUGGGGGAUAACGUCCAGAAACGGGCGCUAAUACCGCAUACGUCCUGAGGGAGAAAGUGGGGGAUCUUCGGACCUCACGCUAUCAGAUGAGCCUAGGUCGGAUUAGCUAGUUGGUGGGGUAAAGGCCUACCAAGGCGACGAUCCGUAACUGGUCUGAGAGGAUGAUCAGUCACACUGGAACUGAGACACGGUCCAGACUCCUACGGGAGGCAGCAGUGGGGAAUAUUGGACAAUGGGCGAAAGCCUGAUCCAGCCAUGCCGCGUGUGUGAAGAAGGUCUUCGGAUUGUAAAGCACUUUAAGUUGGGAGGAAGGGCAGUAAGUUAAUACCUUGCUGUUCUGACGUUACCAACAGAAUAAGCACCGGCUAACUUCGUG